Molecule: ribosomal RNA, 252 nt
Filed under: uncultured bacterium
Lineage: Bacteria
Description: partial 16S ribosomal RNA
Rfam family: Bacterial small subunit ribosomal RNA
Source: RNAcentral
UACGUAGGAUGUGAGCGUUAUCCGGAUUUAUUGGGUUUAAAGGGUGCGCAGGCGGAGGCACAAGUCAGCGGUAAAAUCGCGGGGCUCAACCCCGCUCCGCCGUUGAAACUGUGUCCCUUGAGUGCGCGAAGGGUAGGCGGAAUGCGUGGUGUAGCGGUGAAAUGCAUAGAUAUCACGCUGAACUCCGAUCGCGAAGGCAGCCUACCGGCGCGCAACUGACGCUCAUGCACGAAAGCGUGGGUAUCGAACAGG